GGUUAAGCGACUAAGCGUACACGGUGGAUGCCCUGGCAGUCAGAGGCGAUGAAGGACGUGCUAAUCUGCGAUAAGCGUCGGUAAGGUGAUAUGAACCGUUAUAACCGGCGAUUUCCGAAUGGGGAAACCCAGUGUGAUUCGUCACACUAUCAUUAACUGAAUCCAUAGGUUAAUGAGGCGAACCGGGGGAACUGAAACAUCUAAGUACCCCGAGGAAAAGAAAUCAACCGAGAUUCCCCCAGUAGCGGCGAGCGAACGGGGAGGAGCCCAGAGCCUGAAUCAGUGUGUGUGUUAGUGGAAGCGUCUGGAAAGGCGCGCGAUACAGGGUGACAGCCCCGUACACAAAAAUGCACAUGCUGUGAGCUCGAUGAGUAGGGCGGGACACGUGGUAUCCUGUCUGAAUAUGGGGGGACCAUCCUCCAAGGCUAAAUACUCCUGACUGACCGAUAGUGAACCAGUACCGUGAGGGAAAGGCGAAAAGAACCCCGGCGAGGGGAGUGAAAAAGAACCUGAAACCGUGUACGUACAAGCAGUGGGAGCCUCUUUAUGGGGUGACUGCGUACCUUUUGUAUAAUGGGUCAGCGACUUAUAUUCUGUAGCAAGGUUAACCGAAUAGGGGAGCCGAAGGGAAACCGAGUCUUAACUGGGCGUUAAGUUGCAGGGUAUAGACCCGAAACCCGGUGAUCUAGCCAUGGGCAGGUUGAAGGUUGGGUAACACUAACUGGAGGACCGAACCGACUAAUGUUGAAAAAUUAGCGGAUGACUUGUGGCUGGGGGUGAAAGGCCAAUCAAACCGGGAGAUAGCUGGUUCUCCCCGAAAGCUAUUUAGGUAGCGCCUCGUGAACUCAUCUCCGGGGGUAGAGCACUGUUUCGGCAAGGGGGUCAUCCCGACUUACCAACCCGAUGCAAACUGCGAAUACCGGAGAAUGUUAUCACGGGAGACACACGGCGGGUGCUAACGUCCGUCGUGAAGAGGGAAACAACCCAGACCGCCAGCUAAGGUCCCAAAGUCAUGGUUAAGUGGGAAACGAUGUGGGAAGGCCCAGACAGCCAGGAUGUUGGCUUAGAAGCAGCCAUCAUUUAAAGAAAGCGUAAUAGCUCACUGGUCGAGUCGGCCUGCGCGGAAGAUGUAACGGGGCUAAACCAUGCACCGAAGCUGCGGCAGCGACGCUUAUGCGUUGUUGGGUAGGGGAGCGUUCUGUAAGCCUGUGAAGGUGUGCUGUGAGGCAUGCUGGAGGUAUCAGAAGUGCGAAUGCUGACAUAAGUAACGAUAAAGCGGGUGAAAAGCCCGCUCGCCGGAAGACCAAGGGUUCCUGUCCAACGUUAAUCGGGGCAGGGUGAGUCGACCCCUAAGGCGAGGCCGAAAGGCGUAGUCGAUGGGAAACAGGUUAAUAUUCCUGUACUUGGUGUUACUGCGAAGGGGGACGGAGAAGGCUAUGUUGGCCGGGCGACGGUUGUCCCGGUUUAAGCGUGUAGGCUGGUUUUCCAGGCAAAUCCGGAAAAUCAAGGCUGAGGCGUGAUGACGAGGCACUACGGUGCUGAAGCAACAAAUGCCCUGCUUCCAGGAAAAGCCUCUAAGCAUCAGGUAACAUCAAAUCGUACCCCAAACCGACACAGGUGGUCAGGUAGAGAAUACCAAGGCGCUUGAGAGAACUCGGGUGAAGGAACUAGGCAAAAUGGUGCCGUAACUUCGGGAGAAGGCACGCUGAUAUGUAGGUGAAGUCCCUCGCGGAUGGAGCUGAAAUCAGUCGAAGAUACCAGCUGGCUGCAACUGUUUAUUAAAAACACAGCACUGUGCAAACACGAAAGUGGACGUAUACGGUGUGACGCCUGCCCGGUGCCGGAAGGUUAAUUGAUGGGGUCAGCGCAAGCGAAGCUCUUGAUCGAAGCCCCGGUAAACGGCGGCCGUAACUAUAACGGUCCUAAGGUAGCGAAAUUCCUUGUCGGGUAAGUUCCGACCUGCACGAAUGGCGUAAUGAUGGCCAGGCUGUCUCCACCCGAGACUCAGUGAAAUUGAACUCGCUGUGAAGAUGCAGUGUACCCGCGGCAAGACGGAAAGACCCCGUGAACCUUUACUAUAGCUUGACACUGAACAUUGAGCCUUGAUGUGUAGGAUAGGUGGGAGGCUUAGAAGUGUGGACGCCAGUCUGCAUGGAGCCGACCUUGAAAUACCACCCUUUAAUGUUUGAUGUUCUAACGUUGACCCGUAAUCCGGGUUGCGGACAGUGUCUGGUGGGUAGUUUGACUGGGGCGGUCUCCUCCUAAAGAGUAACGGAGGAGCACGAAGGUUGGCUAAUCCUGGUCGGACAUCAGGAGGUUAGUGCAAUGGCAUAAGCCAGCUUGACUGCGAGCGUGACGGCGCGAGCAGGUGCGAAAGCAGGUCAUAGUGAUCCGGUGGUUCUGAAUGGAAGGGCCAUCGCUCAACGGAUAAAAGGUACUCCGGGGAUAACAGGCUGAUACCGCCCAAGAGUUCAUAUCGACGGCGGUGUUUGGCACCUCGAUGUCGGCUCAUCACAUCCUGGGGCUGAAGUAGGUCCCAAGGGUAUGGCUGUUCGCCAUUUAAAGUGGUACGCGAGCUGGGUUUAGAACGUCGUGAGACAGUUCGGUCCCUAUCUGCCGUGGGCGCUGGAGAACUGAGGGGGGCUGCUCCUAGUACGAGAGGACCGGAGUGGACGCAUCACUGGUGUUCGGGUUGUCAUGCCAAUGGCACUGCCCGGUAGCUAAAUGCGGAAGAGAUAAGUGCUGAAAGCAUCUAAGCACGAAACUUGCCCCGAGAUGAGUUCUCCCUGACCCUUUAAGGGUCCUGAAGGAACGUUGAAGACGACGACGUUGAUAGGCCGGGUGUGUAAGCGCAGCGAUGCGUUGAGCUAACCGGUACUAAUGAACCGUGAGGCUUAACCUU
Molecule: ribosomal RNA, 2902 nt
Filed under: Escherichia coli
Lineage: Bacteria; Pseudomonadati; Pseudomonadota; Gammaproteobacteria; Enterobacterales; Enterobacteriaceae
Description: 23S ribosomal RNA
Rfam family: Bacterial large subunit ribosomal RNA
Source: RNAcentral